Molecule: long non-coding RNA, 34034 nt
Filed under: Fragaria vesca (wild strawberry)
Lineage: Eukaryota; Viridiplantae; Streptophyta; Magnoliopsida; Rosales; Rosaceae
Description: long non-coding RNA (FVES_LNC002967)
Source: RNAcentral
UGUAAUAGGAACUGUGCCCCCCGCCACAAAUUUGUCACCAGAGGUUGAAUGAGGAGUGUCAGCUUUAGGACUAGGAAGAUUGUUAAAGAAAUCUUCUCCAUUGUCAGAAGGAAAAAUUGUAGUUUCCUUCUCAGCACCCAAACCAGCUUUGUCAGUUGUUGAAUCCUCAAUCCCAGGUGCAUUGACUUCCGCAGAUAGAUCAUCUUGAACAAUUUCUUUUGUUUCCUCAGGUACAAUGAAACCAAGAUGUGUGAUCAGGUUUCUCCUUGCAGUCCCAUCAUCUUUAAACAUAACCCUUAAUAAGCCCCAUGUUUCCCGGUCAUCAGCAGUCCUGUCAUGAUAACCAUGCAAAAUUGAAGCCAAGAACAAACAUGAUAAAAGUGAAUUGAAGGGAUAGAAAUGGUAUCUCUCCCAAGGCUGAUGAAAACAUUCAUUUCUUAAUGGUAAAUGACAUACUCAGACAUGAGCGAUCCACUAAACUUUGUUCAGUAACCAAGCUGUGCACAUAAACCUGGAAAAUAAAAAAAUAAAAAGCUAUAAAGUGCAUCAUAAAUUCACAAAGCCAAUGCUGGCAGCGUACUAAUAACUUACCUCUGAAGCACCUGCACCAGAUGAACUAGGCUGAAAGGACACGAUCUUGCCUACAAAACCAAAAGACACCGCAUAAAGCAGUAGGGGUAGCCGUAAUAACCGAGACGCCGCAUUAAGCGGGAAGAUGUAAUAACCGAAAGGACGCCGCACGAAACGGGAAUGGGUAAUAACCGAAUGGACGCCGCACGAAACGGGUAUGGGUAAUAACCGAAAGGACGCCGCACGAAGCGGGUAGGGGUAAUAACCGACGGAGGGUAAUAAUGGACGGAACGCCGCACGAAGCGGUAAGGGGUAAUAACCGAAAGGAUGCCGCACGAAGCGGUAGGGGUAGUGACCGACGGGACGCCGCACGAAGCGGGUAGGGGUGAUAACCGACGGGAGGCCGCAUGAAGCGAGUAGGGGUAACAACCGAAGGGAUGCCGCACGAAGCGGGAAAGGGUAAUAACCUAAGAGACGCUGCACGAAGCGGGGAAGGGUUAAUAACCAAAGAGACGCCGAACAAAGCGGAUAGGUGUAAUUGUCAGGACCCACCCCGAAUUUUACCCUAAAACCCGGAGUAAGUCCUGCGAGGACCACUCCCAAGGAAAGAUUUACCGAAAAAUUGGCAAAACCUCCCUUGAAAAUGGACAACCCUUACCUGAAAAAUUUCAAAUUUACACUCCUACUAACACACAUCUAACCUUAACUCCUGGAGCCAUCCGCUCCCCGCAAACACAACCACCACAUAAUCAACAAUACAUCAACAUCCAAACAUCACAUAAAUAUUCAGCUUAAACAUUAAACCUUAUCCUUCAGAUACUCUAAACAGAAAUCAACAGACCGAGCACACCACCGAAAUAAUUUACAUUAAUCCCAAAGUAUUCAGAGCUACUAGACACUAGUGGAAGCAAGAAAACACGGGUAGGUUAAACAGGUAACCUACUGGUGAAAAGUGGAGGAAAUGCGGGUGACUAUGCCUCGCCUCCUACUAGAUCCAACCCGAACUCUACAGACUGGGCAAUUUAAAACAAAUAGCCCAGGGGAAAACAUUUAAUAACGUUAGAGUGAGUGGACAAAAAUAAAUUAAUAAAUAAAAUAUUUAUGUUUCCCCAAAUCAAUUUCCAAAGAAAAAUCGAAUACAUGCCGCAAGUAAUAAAACUUUUAUCUUAUAAAAUAUCGAGCCUCUCAGGCUCUAUAAUAUAUGUAUGUAUUUACACACGUCCAUACUCCCUAUAUAAAUUCAUGGGUCUAUAUAGGGCUGCAACGCUCGCGUCCAAUGCUCACGUCACGCCUUAAUGCGGUGCUACACUACGCCAUUAAGGUGGACAGACGGGUGUAUAAAUAUGUGUCCAUACCCCCUGUAUAAAUUAAACACUCAUGUAGGGCUACUACGCUCACGUCCAACGCUCACGUCACAUCAUAAUGCGGCUAUAUGCUACGCCAUUAAGGUGGACAGACACAUAUGGCUAGCUAGCAUUUAUAUACAUACUCUCCUCAAUAUACAUAUUAUACUUACCGAAAAAUCCCAUUUUUCAGUAACUCUCCAAGAGAAAUAAAAGCGUCAAAAUUAAAUGACGUCAAAACUCCAACAAUUUUAAAUGUUCAACCAAAACCAUAGCAUGCACAUUAUUUAAAAUAAAAGUCCACUCACAAAUUAGGCCUAAGCCUGAUGUCGAUCUGGGGCCUCGUUUCAUCGAGCCUCAUCAUGUCCUGUUCCAAAUAUAAUAUUAAUUUCCCAACCGAAAUUCCAAUACUUACUCAAAAAUAGGCAAAAUAAAUAUGAGCCGUAACCAAGCUCAUUCUCGCCUAACAUCGAUAUUCCUAAAUCGAAACGAUCCAAACUUUAAUACCAUAAUAGGCAGCCUUAACACAACCUCCCACAGAUUUAACGACUUUAAAUCCUACAGCCGGAUUCUACAUUAAUUAACCGCUAAAAAUACCAAACUUCGGAAAAUCUCAAACCUAUCCAAAACUCAUCAAAAAAUUCCAUAAUUCACAUCAAUAAACUCCUCUUAAUUUUCCACAUUUAAAACAAAAAAAUCUCCCACACAGCGGCGGCGGCCGGAGGCCGACUCCGGCGACCUCCAAUGCCUAAGAAAUUUUGACAGCAUCUUCCUCUCAACCCCCUCUACAACUUUCUUAACUAGCACAAACACCAAUUCCAAGCCUAACUAGGUCAAUUGAGCAAAAACAUCCUAAAAGCCUAAAAAAUUCAACUCCACAUUUCUCCUUACCUAGCUCAAGAGAGGGUGAGACCUUUGGAGGGGUUGUUGCACGGGUGGAGGGCUCUCUUUUGAGCCAAGCAGCUCCGGCUAUGGCGGCCGGAGAAGGAAGUUCCGACGAGAAAACCACCACGACAGUCGGACCUCUCGGGGGUGAGAACUCGUUCACGGCGGAGCUAGGGCGGCUCUCACCGGCCUAGAAUGGAAGCUGGGUUGGAGGCCGACCGAACGGGACCGGUGCGGCGGCGGUUGGUGGCCGGAAGACGGCGAACGGUCGGGUUGAAGUUUCGGCAAGGUGAUGGCUUAGGAGGAAGACCGGGAGAGAGAAAGAGAAAAGAAAGAGAGGGAGAUGGGUUUGGGCCUCUCCAAACCGGUCCAACACCUAUAUACCCACACCAACUCCAAAAUAAAACACACCGAAAAAUAAAUACACUAAUAAAAAUUACCUUUUACUAGUUAAAAUUUACCAUUUUUACCGUCGUCAUAUUUUUCUCCUACGAAUAAUCCUCCGAAAAUACAUGUCCCCCAAACCCCUCUAGGGACCAAUUAAACUAUAACCUCAAUGACGGAGACGGUAAAAUUAUUAUUAUAACCAAGCUAGUAAAUAAGGUAAAAAUUUAAGGGUCGGGAUGUGACAGUAAUAACCGAAGGGACGCCGCACGAAACGGGAAGAGGUAAUAACUAAAGGGACGCCGCACGAAGCGGUAAGGGGUAAUAACCGACGGGACGCCACACGAAACGGUAGUGUAAUAACCGAAAGGACGCCGCACGAAGCGGUUAUGGGUAAUAACCGAAGGGACGCCGCACAAAGCGGUAGGGGUAAAAACCGACACAACGUCGCACGAAACGGGUAGGGGUGAUAACCGAAUGGACGCCGCACGAAACGAGAAGGGGUAAGAACCGAUGGGACGUUGCACGAAACAAGAAAGGAUGAUAACCGAAGGGACGUCGCACGAAGCGUGAAGGGGUAAUGACCGAAGGGACGCCGCAUGAAACGGUAAGGAGUAGUGACAGACGGGACGCCGCACGAAGCGGUAGGGGUCAUAACCGAUGGGACGCCACACGAAGAGGUUAGAGGUAAUAACCUAAAAGACGCCGCACGAAGCGGUAAGGGGUAAUAACCGACGGGAUGCCGCACGAAGCGGUAGGGUAGUGACCGAAGGGACGCCGCACGAAGCGGGUAGGGAAUAACCGAUGGGACGCCACACGAAGCGAAAAGGUAAUAACCGAAGGGAUGCAGCACGAAGCGGGGAAGGGGUAAUAACCGAAGGGAGGCCACACGAAAAGGGAAGGAGUAAUAACCGAAGGCAAGCAGCACGAAGCGGUAAGGGGUAAUAACCGAUGGGACGCCACACGAAACGCUAGCAUAAUAAUCGAAAAGACGCCGCACGAAACGGUUAUGGGUAAUAACCGAAUGGACGCCACACAAAGCGGUAGGGGUAAAAACCAACAGAACGCCGCACAAAGCGGGUAGAGGUAAUAACCAAAGGGUCGCUGCACGAAAUGUUAAUGGGUAAUAACCGAAUGGAUGCCGCAGGAAGCGGGGAAGGGGUAAUAACUGACGAAACGUCGCAUGAAGCGGUAAGGGGUAAUAACCGAAGGGACGCCGCUCGAAGCGGUAAGGGGUAAUAACCGACGGGACGCCGCACGAAGUGGGUAGGGGUAAAAACCGACAGAACGUCACACGAAGCGGGUAAGGGUAAUAACCACAGGGUCGCCGCACGAAGUGUUAAGGGGUAAUAACUGAAUAGACGCUGCACGAAGCGGGAAAGGGGUAGUAACCGAAGGACGCCGCACGAAGCGGAAAAGGGUUCUUUAAGAGUUAUGAAAAGAAUAAUUACUUAGUGUUUUAAGUCUUGAAUGUGUUUGUGUAUUUAAGUCUCAAGUAUUUUUAAGAGUCUUAUUAUUAAUAAGUUAUACAAGCCUUAUGGUAUUCUAGGAAACCAGAGGUUUUAUUUAAAGCCUAUAAAUGACUUUCUAAUGUACUCCGAAGAGAAGAUUGGAAUGAAUUAAGAUUUUAGUUAUUGAAGGCUUGGCCUUGUUCCUCCCCCCUAACCUCUCUCAUUUUAUUUCUCUCUUCUAAAGCUAAGAAACCCCUAUCCCUUCCGAAACCCUUAUGUUUUCUUAAUCUGUUUUUUUAAUCGCUCGACAUUCUCCAACCACACUAUUCUCUAUCAUUGACUAUUGGCCUCUCCCUGCAUUAAUGAUAAUUCACCAAUUUUGGUAGUAUAGAAAUAUCAAAGAGAGAUAUAAAGUGCGAAAAAAAGGAAAGACUUGAACAGAAAAAGUUUUACCUGAUAUGUUUCUACUCAUAUGUCACUUCAGAUAUGGAAAAAACAUGCAUACAACACGAAUGUCCCCAACAUUUAAAUUCAGCAGAAAAAUUAUAAGUCAAGAUGGGAUUACCUCAAGUACCAUGUGAAGCAAUUGGAAAGCGGCAGCAUCCCAUUAUCUCUUAAAGUGAAGCGGAGUUCCUUAGAAAUAAAUUCCCUCAGUGGACUCCGAUGAGCAAUUACUAGAGUGGUUCCCACAGAAAUUUCUACCUGAGAACAAUGAUGCAUAUACAUAAGACAAUCUCAGCAAAAAUGAGUAAGCUCCGAUACAAUUAUCAAACAAUGAUUAUGCAAUACCAUAUAUAAUGAUCUAAGUAUAUUUCUCAUAUUACCAUGCCAUGUAAAGUUGUAAACAUCUUGCAACUACAGCAAUGUAACUUGGCCUUAAUGAUUCAGAGUCUUUACCUAUUUAAGUCUUAAGUAUUUAAGAGUCUUAAAGUCUUAAGUGUAUCUUUACCUAUUUAAGAGUCUUAUUAUUAAUAAGUUAUAUUAGUCUUAUAGUAUUCUAGGAAACUAAGGGUUAUAUUUGAAACCUAUAAAUGACUUUCUCAUGUAAUCCGAAGCGCAUAUUGGAAUAAAUUAAGAUUUUAUCUUCUUGAAGGCUUGGCCUUGUUUCCUCUCUCCUAACUUGCUUCAUUCUAUUUCUCCCUUCUACAGCUAAGAAACUCUUGUCCCUUCUAAAACCCUUAUGUUUUCUUAAUCUCUCAACAUUCUCCAACCCACCUUUUUCACUCUAUCUCUAACAAUUGGCCUCUCCCUGCAUCCAAGAUAAUCCACCAUUUUUGUCUCAGUCAACUACGAUCUAUAUUUCACAAAAGAAGAAAAAGAAAGAUAGCUCAAACUAUUUGUUGAUACACUGAUGUUGAUAAUGUUCUAAGAAUCAGGAUCAUUAUUUCUGAGCAUUAUCAUGCAGAUACAUAUUUAAAAGCAAUAAAAAUUACUUCCUAUUUUCUAGUUAACACUACUUAGCUGACGAAAAUAAAAAAAACAGGCCGACGAACAAUUUUUUCGUUGGCUAAAGUCCACUUUAGCCGACGAAAUUUUCCUUUGUCGGCUAAUUUAAAUUUCCAUCGGCUAUAGUCAACUUUAGCCGACGAAAUUAAAUUUUCGUCGGAUAAACAAUUUUUUUCGUCGGCUAUAGUCUGUGGACUUUAGCCGACAACAUUAAACAUUCUUUAGCCAACGAAAUUCUUUAGCCGACGAAAUUAAAUUUCGUCGGCUAAAGUGCUUUAUAUUUGCAAAUCUGGACAGCAGCUCAUCUGGGAAAAAAAAACGGGAGAAAAAGUUUGGGUGUUGUCGAAAUCUGUCCAUAAUUAGUUUGUGAAGCUAUAUAUAGGUACGUACGUAUCUGCAUAUGUAUAUAUAUGUUGAUUUUGAGUUUUAUUUGAGUUGAUAGAUUUUGAAUGUGAUUGAAUUGAUAGAUUUUGUAAUACGUUGGAUGUAUAUAUAUAUAUAUAUGUUGAUCGAUUUGGUUGAUGAUUUGAUAAUAUAUAUGAAGUUGUUGUUAAUAAGUAGUAGAUAUAUAUAUAUAUAUNNNNNNNNNNNNNNNNNNNNUGAGUGUUGAUAUAUAUAAUAUUGUUAUGUAUUAUUAAUAUAUAUAUAUAUAUAUAUAUGUGUUAAUUAAUUUGUUAUCAAUUAUUUGUUAUCAAUUUGUUAAUUAAUUAAUAUAUAUAUAUAUAUACUAAAUGAAUUGAGAUUUUAUAUAUGGCAUGAAAUUUAAUUAAUAAUUAGCUAGCGUUAUACAUAUGUAUUUUGUUAUAUUUUCAGGAUAUAUAUGGAUAAGAGUUGGAUUUCGCUUCCAAAAUGGGACAAAAGAUAUGGUAAAUGAGUUAUGAGUUUUCUGGAAUAAGCGCUAGCUAAUGCUAACGGGAAUACAAUUUUCUAUUGCCCGUGCACAAAAUGUCAGUGUCGCAGCGAUAUGCAUCGAUUUGGGAUUGACAAAAUAUGGCAGCACCUGAAGAGUAACGGGUUUUGGGAGAAGUACACAUGUUGGUUAUAUCACGGUGAAACAUCAUCAGGGGGUCCGCAUGAUCAUGGGCAAUUUUCUGAGACGGGCAGUACAUCCAACGAUCCAACAACGGCCUUCAUCAACGACAUAUUUCCUUAUGAUAACGGUGUAUGCGCUCAAGGACAAUAUAUGCCUAACCCGGUGCAGCCCUUCCCUAGAGCUGUCAACACUGCUGGUAUUGACUAGUACAACAAACUGUUUGCUUUCCAACAGACCCCUGUGUACCCCGGUUGUCAGAGGACCAUUCUUGAAAGUGUGAUGGACGUAAUUAAGAUUAAAGUUGAGACAAAAUCGACUGUGAAAGAUGUUGAUGAUUAUCUACAGUACACUGCUUCGAUGCUGCCCCACGGUCAGUGACGUAGCCAGACAUCUCACUUAGAAGGGUCAUAUUUGAUGAACUAGAAAAUUAAAUUAUUUUCAGUCACUCUUCAGCAACAACACAAUUUUGUUUAAAAGAAUGACACAAACUUAAUUUCAACAAUAUUUUUGUUCUAUCAUUAUUAUCUCGAAUAAACUUUGGAUUAGAAUUUCAUGCACGAUAAAUAUUGGAAAAAAAUAUGUUACUUUUUUUUUUUGAGAGAUAAUGCAUGUUGAUGUAUGGUAAACAUUAAUGUGUUGUUUCCAUUUAGUAAGGUAAAAAACCCUUAACACUAUUUGUAUUAAUUGGAUUAAGUAUUUGAAUAGUAUAAAUUUUUAUUUCAUUCUAUUAUUGUUGAAGAAUAUUUAAGACUAAUUAAGAAUUUAUUAGAGAAGAAGGGUCAAUUUAUGUUUUAUUUCCACUAAUAUCCAAUACAAAUGAAGACUAAUUACUCUUUUUGAAAAUUUGAGAGGGUUCAAUUGAACCCUUUGCCCCCUAGCUAGCUACGCCAUUGCCCACGGUCAUCGUCUUCCUACCACUCAUCAUAAGGUCCGAUGUAUCCUGAAAGAUCUUGGGCUUUCCUACAUCAAGAUCCAUGCAUGCAGAUAUGACUGCGUUCUCUUCUGGGGUAAAGAUCCAGAAGGGAAUGACCUUGGUGGCCUUGACGCAUGUCCGGUAUGUCACACUGACAGGUAUAAGCUUACUCCUGCAGGCAACAUGAAACCUGUGAAGGUACUUCGAUAUUUCCCUUUGAGGGAUAGGCUGGAGCGGUUGUACAUGUCUUCACACAUGGCCGAAGCUAUGAAAUGGCACGCUGACAGGGAAUUGCAUGACGAAGAUACCCUUAUACACCCUGACAAGACCCACCCCGAAUUUCACCCUGAAACCCAGAGUAAGUCGUGCGGGGACCACCUCCAAGGAAAAUUUACUGAAAAGAUUAAGAAAAUCUCCCUUGCAGAUGGACAACCCUAACUCGAAAAUUUCAAAUUACACUCUUAAUUUAUCACUUCUGAACCUCGCAUAAUAUACAAAAAUUCUAAAGUAUUCAAAACUACUAAACACAAGCGGAAGCAAGAAAACACGAGUAGGUUGAACAGGUAACCUACUGGCGAAAACUGGCAGAAAUGCGGGUGACUAUGCCUCGUCUCCUACUAGAUCCAACCCGAACUCUGCAGACUGGGCAAUUUAAAACGAAGGGCCCAGGGGAAACAUUUAAUAACGNNNNNNNNNNNNNNNNNNNNNNNNNNNNNNNNNNNNNNNNNNNNNNNNNNNNNNNNNNNNNNNNNNNNNNNNNNNNNNNNNNNNNNNNNNNNNNNNNNNNNNNNNNNNNNNNNNNNNNNNNNNNNNNNNNNNNNNNNNNNNNNNNNNNNNNNNNNNNNNNNNNNNNNNNNNNNNNNNNNNNNNNNNNNNNNNNNNNNNNNNNNNNNNNNNNNNNNNNNNNNNNNNNNNNNNNNNNNNNNNNNNNNNNNNNNNNNNNNNNNNNNNNNNNNNNNNNNNNNNNNNNNNNNNNNNNNNNNNNNNNNNNNNNNNNNNNNNNNNNNNNNNNNNNNNNNNNNNNNCAAAAUUACCCGAGAGCCAUAAUUACGCUCAUCAUUGCCUAACUUCGAUAUUCUUACAUCGGAACGAUCCGAACUUAAAUAUCAUACUCAACAGUCGUAAAUACAACCUCUCCAAAAUACGACUUAAAUCCUACGGCCGGAUUCUACAUUAAUUAACCGCCAAAAAAUACCUAACUUCGGAAAUUCACAAACCUAUCCAAAUUUCAUCCAAAAAUUCCAUAAAUCACACCAAUAUACUCCUCUUAAUAUUCCACAUUUAAAACCCUAAAAAUCUCCUAACCGGCGGCGGCCGGCAGCCGUUUUCCGGCGACCUGCAAAUGUUACCAAAUUUUAACAGAAUCUUCCUCUCAAUCUCCUCUACAACUUUCAUGACUAACACAUCACCCAAUUCCAAGCCUAACUAGGCUAAUCAAACGAAAACAACUUAAACACCAUAAAACUUCCACCUCAAAUUUCUCCUUACCUAGCUCAAGAGGGAGGGAGCUGUUUGGAGGGGUUGUUGCACGGGAGGAGGGCUACGAAACCGUACCAAGCUUGCCCGGAUUGGCGGCCGGAGGAGGAAGUUCCGGCGAGAAAACCGAUUCGGCAGUCGGAGCUUUCGGGUGGCACCGCUCUCUCACGGCGGAGCUAGGGCUCCUCUCACCGGUCUAGAAAUGUUGCUGGGAGGGAGACCGACCGAACGGGACCGGUCCGGCGGCGAACGGAGGUCGGACGGCGGCGGGAGGACAGCCGGAAAACCGGGCAGCGAGAGGCUCGGGGAGAGGAAAAGAAAAGAGGGAAGAAGAGAAAGGGAGGAGGAAAAAGAAAUGGGUUGGGCCUCCACCGGUCCAACCUAUAUCAACCCAAUUCCAAAAAUAAAAACACCCCGAAAAAAUAAUACCCGAAUAAAAAUUACCUUUUACUAGCUAAAAUUUACCAUUUUUACCGUCGUCGAAAAUUCUUCCUUAGAAUAAAUCCCUCAAAAUAUUAGUCCCUCAACACCCUCUGGGAACUAAUUAAAUUACACACUUAGUGACGAACACGGUAAAAACUCUUGAUAUCACUAUGCCAGUAAUAAAGGUAAAAAUUAAGAUUCGGGGCGUGACACACCCUGCUGACGGGGAGGCUUGGAAGUAUAUAGACAGGGAGUUUCCUCAUUUUGCGUCAAAGGUCCGAAAUGUGAGGCUCGGGCUCUCAUCCGACGGGUUCAACCCUUUUGGCAACAUGAGUCUUCAAUACAGUGUAUGACCGGUGAUUUUGGUACCGUACAACCUUCCUCUAUGGAUGUGCAUAAAGAAGGUAUACAAUAUGUUGAGUUUGUUGAUUCCGGGGCCCGGUUAUCCAGCGAAGUGUCUCGAUGUGUAUUUGAGACCUUUGAUUGAAGAGCUUAAGUUUUUGUGGGACGUUGGUCAUCCCACUUAUGACAAGUACAUGCACGAGAUGUUCCAGAUGCAUGUCAUGGUUGUUGGUACCAUCAGUGAUUUUCCUGCCCGUGGGAUGUUGUCGGGCAACGUUGUUAGGGGAUACAAAGCUUGUCCAGAGUGCCUUAGCGAUCAGGGGAGCAGUAGUUAUUGCAACAAGAUAUGCAAAUUGGGUCACCGUACUCUCCUUCAAUAUGAUCACAAAUGGAGACUCGAUACAUAGGCAUUUGAUGGGACCGUAGAAAACGGUGUGCCUCCCAAAAGAUGGACGGGGGAAGAAAUUUUAGCAGUGCUUAAUGAGUACGAUUUUGGGCAACUCAGCAAUCAUCCCAAUAUUGUGGCGGUAAUACAUGAAAGACCCGACAGGUACAAAUUCUGGACACAUAAGAGCAUAUUCUGGGAACUCCCAAACUGGAGUAAGUUGUUGAUCAGGCACUACCUAGAUGUGAUGCACAUAGAAAAGAAUGUUUGCGACAGUGUGGUGGGCACAGUGCUGAACUUGGAGGGGAAGACGAAAGACGGUCCUAAGGCACGCAUUGAUCUAAAAAAAAAUGCAAUUAAGAAGACAUCUGUGAUUGAAAGAAGGGAAGAAACAAAUGCCUCAAGAACGUAAUUUUCAAGUGCAUCAGAAGAACGUAAUUUUCAAGUGGAUGAGUUGUGUGAAAUAUCCUUCAGGCUAUGCAGAAAAUAUAGCCCGGUGUGUGAACUUCCUGGACAAUAAGAUGUACGGGUUGAAGGGUCAUGACUGUCAUAUCCUGCUACAACGUCUCUUCCCUGUUUUCAUUCGACCGUUCCUUCCCCGUCUGGUGGUGGAGCCGUUAGUAGCAUUGACAAGAUUCUUCCAGAAGUUAUGCACACGGGAAGUGAAAAAAUCUAACCUCCGGGAAAUGCAUGAAGACAUCAUUUAUAUCAUGUGUAAAUUUGAGAGGAUAUUUCCUCCAAAUUUUUUGACAUUAUGCCUCACCUGAUGAUCCAUCUUCCCGAGCAAUUGUUGUUUACUGGUCCAGUACACUACACUUGGAUGUAUCCCAUGAAAAGGUACGUUUUUACACCUGAAUUCCUCAAUAUAUAUACAUGUUCAAUAAUCAUAACAUUUUGCAACUUGAUUUAUAGGCAACUUGGAGACUACAAAGAUUAUGUGGCUAAUAAAUCCACGCCUGAAGGAUGUAUAGCUGAAGCAUAUAUUGUGCACGAGUGCGUCACUUGCAUGAAGUUGUAUUUAGGAGCGUUGAAGGAAACUCCGCAAACCAUGCCGGUAGAUGUACCGAAGUUCAAUUUUUCCAUAGUCUCCAGUGAUAUUGAAUUAUGUGGCUAAUAAAUCCACGCCUGAAGGAUGUAUAGCUGAAGCAUAUAUUGUGCACGAGUGCGUCACUUACAUGAAGUUGUAUUUAGGAGCGUUGAAGGAAACUCCGCAAACCAUGCCGGUAGAUGUACCGAAGUUCAAUUUUUCCAUAGUCUCCAGUGAUAUUGAAGUGAAUGGAAUUUUACCAGACUCCUACAAGUUGCAACCACAUGAGCUAGUCAUUGCCCACGAGUGGGUAUUGAUUAACUGUCGAGAAGUUGAAUACUGGAAAGACAUCCAUCUAUAUUGUCCAGACAUUCAAGGUGAUCUCGAGUACCACAUCAGGGAGUUCGCAGAUUAUUUUGGCGGCUGGGUACGUAAUUUAAUAUUUAUGUACGGGUUUAUGUUUAUCCAUAUUUACAGUUGAAUGGUUGGUUGCAGAUGAACCAUAUUCAAUUUGAUGGUCACCCAAAUUGGUCACACGAACUAAGACUUCUAGCGAUGAAGCCGAUAAUGUCAAGAGUUUAUCCGAUGUGCAAGGUGAAUGACGUGCAAUUUAUAUGUGAACAGAGAGACAGCAGACGGAGAACACAGAAUUCUGGGGUCAUGGCGCAUGGUGGGCGGAAUGGAGUUGACUAUUACGGUGUUCUCCAUUCAGUGGUGGAACUCGUUUAUAGGCAAGGAAUGACAGUGCACCUCUUCAAGUGUAGAUGGUUUGAUACUAGGCCGCAGAGCAUGAAGACCGAUCAGUACGGAAUAUUAUCGGUGAACACUGCUACAAGUUGUUACGAAAAUGACCUGUUCGUUUUUGCCACAUCGGUAAAACAAGUGUUUUAUCUUGAUGACCUUGCUAAGGGUGACGCGUGGAAAGUAGUCAACCUUGUGCACCCUCGAAACAUUUACCAGGCGGCUACACUUGGAGAGGCCGAAGACAAGGAAGAAAAUGUUGCGUAUCAAGAGCCCAACGCAAUAGGUAUUCCUAACUCCUCUACCGUUCGCCUUAACAAUUUUAAAGCGGGUCGUUCGGUGCAAAUUCGUGAUGAAGAGCCAAGGCUUAUUGAUGUUGAUUCAAAUCAAGAAACAGACGAAGACUCUGGCGAUGAGGAAAUGCAUAGAUUACCAGAAAUUAAUUCUGACACCGAAGAAGACUCAUCGGAUGAUUCCGAUUACGAGCCUUAGUUUUAAUUUAGAGGACGUAAUACAAUAAUUUGUAAUAAAAAAGAAUGUAUUACCUUUAUAGUUUACAUAUGUUGAAUUCAUGUUUAUGUUAUUUUAUAUGAAUUUUGGUGAUAUAUGAACAGGAAGUUAGUAUGGUUUACAUUAAACCUUCAGUUUUUUUAAUGUAUUUUUUAUACUUUAGCCGACGAAUUAUAGUAUAUUUCGUCGGCUAAAACAAUCUUAGCCGACGAAUUAUAUUUUACGUCGUCGGUUAAGAUCAGGUUAGCCGACGAAUACCCUAAUAUUUCGUCGGCUUUAUUUAUUUUUUUAUUUUUUAUUACAUACUAUAGCCGACGAAUAUAUUAGGGUAUUCGUCGGCUAAAUCCUAAAAUUUUUCUAUUACAUACUAUAGCCCUAUCUUCAGUCGUUAUUUUCCGUAAAAUUUUUAUACUACUUGUUGCGUCUCAUCGAUUUGAAACUAUUUUCAGUUGAAGGUCCGGCGAAAAUACGAAAUUUAGAUGGUCCAACGACCUUUUCCGUGCAUUUAGGGGUUUGACUUACUGGAUUGACCGUCGGGAUCGAGCCCUUAACCUUGUCGGAUCAAGUUGAAUUUUUGCCCAUACAUGUAUUUUGUCAUGAUGGUCAGAUCUGACGGUCGGAUUUCUGUUUCUCAAGUUUGAUCAUCACAAUCACAACAUGCCUACUAAUAUUGUAUAGCUUGUUUACCAAGUGUCAAGUAAAUGUUCCGUUUCAAAAACAAACUAUACGUAGAACCUUCAAACGCAAAAAAGUCGUAAAAUAAGAUAUGACCAGAAUGGUGAAAUACGUCUACGGUUGAAAAAUCAUGGUAUUCCGGUAAAGUCUCGGUGCCGAUAGUUGUGGUCAAUGCAAUUUUCCAUUCUUUCUCCCUAUGGGUAGCCUUAUCUUCGGUGGUUAUUUUCCCCAAAAUUAUUAUACGACUUGUUGUGUCUUAUCGGUUUGAAACUAUCUUCAGUUGAAGGUCCGGCCAAAAUACGUAAUUUAGACGGUCACAAUCACAAUGUGCCGAAUGUAUAAAGUAUUUAAGCCGAUGAAUUUCAAAGUUUAGCCGACGAAUUUCAAAGCUUUAGCCGACGAAUUUCAAAGUUUAGCCGACGAAUUUAGACUCUUAGCCGACGAAAGCCGACGAAGUAAAAAUUUCGUCGGCUAAAGUGGUACAGUAUACAGACGAACCCCAGCGCGAGAACAGCCUCCACCGCGCGAAUUCGAAACCCUAGCCUCCUCCGCCUCCUUGAGCCCUCUCCCGGUCGCCCUUUCCCUCUCCCGGUCUCCCUCUCCCUCCCUCCAGUCGCCCUCUCCCUCUCCUGCUCACUCGGGCUCCGCCUGCUCGUCACUCGCCAGGUGGUGUAAUUCUCUGAUUUUUAUUUCGAUAUGUGCAUUUAGGGUUUCGAAUUUAGGAAUUUAGGGUUUUUAUGCGCUAUUGAUAUUGUGGAUUGGUUUAUGAUGAAUAUAUUGAGAAUUUUGGUGAUAAUCCAUCUAUUGAAUGUUAUUGGUGUGAAUGAUUGAGUUGGUGUUUUGACAAAAAUUUGCAUUAAUUUGAUAGGACGAAAUAAAAAAACUAUGAUCGACGCCGAUUGAUUUUGCAAGUUUUAAUAUAUUGGAUUAUGCAAGUUUUAAUAUAUGGUUUUGUUGGAAUAUUGUGGAUAUUUUCGAUGCCUAUUGAUUUUGUGUAUGACCUACAUGUGGUGUGUCGUUAUUAAGUUUCAUGAUUUUCUUUCUCAGCCUUGAUUCAAAUUAAUAUUUUAAACAGGAUGAGCGGUAAUUUUAGAUCGACGAAGGGUUCGAAGGGCCAAAGGUCCGAAUCGUCUGAAGGAACCUCUAGCAACCCUCAAACGUCGUUUCGGGGCCUCAUGACAGCCAGACGUGCGGCCCUUCUGGAGACGGCGCAGAGGCAGCCGGAGGUGCCCCCUUCAUCGAGGCAGCCGGAGGUGCCCCCUUAAUCGAGGCAGCCGGAGGUGCCCCCGUCAUCGAGGCAGUCGCGCGUCCCUCAUUCCUCGAGGCAGUUGUGGCCUCAGACCCAAACGGAGGUGUCUGCACCCCGUAUGCCUGAGAUACACCGGGCGCCCACUCCGAGUCCUACUACUUCGGAUGGUGGGUCAUCUGGGGUACAGAUGCCGCCGCCUCAUCUGUUCCUUUCGCGGAUGAUACCGGCCUUACCUGCAGUUGAUGGCCCAGGGGCGCCGAUUUAUCCACUGCCCCCGCCAGUGGCUUCAUCAGCGGCGUACCGGUUCGUGCCUUUUGAUAUGCCUCUUAUUUCCGCGAGGGUAUCAUCAUCGGCGACAGAGACGGAAUCUGUCGUGUCUGCCGCAUUGCCCUUAGGUAAUAAAAGAUGAAUGAUUUGUUUUCUUAUAAUUCUCUGAUUUUAAUAAUCAAUUUGGUUUAUCAUGUGAUAGGCACCGUCGGAGCAAAGCCGGCAAAGAAAAAGAGAGGCCCCGUCACAGGGAAGGCUCUCGAGAAGAUGGUCGGUACCUCAGGGAGGAUCGUCAUCCGUACUGACGGGGAUGGCGACAUAGUAUCGGGCGGGAAGUCGAGGACGUACUCCGGCCGCGUGGGAGCGCUCAUUAGUGAUAGAGUCCCUAUGUUGUGGUCAGACUGGGGCGAGGUCCCGCAGGAGGUUAGGAUAUGGUCCACAACGCGAUGUCGGUGAGUUUACAAAAUGCCUCAAUAAUAUUAUGUAUUACAUUGUUGAUUUUUCGAAAAACUAAACUAAUAAACGGUUAAAUGCAGGUGUGGUUUGAGGUUCCCGAGCACCUGAAGAGCAGCUGGGCGGACGUUGUGCAUGGGGGAAGGUACUUUGGGAAGUUAAUGAAAAAACAAAAUUGUAUGUGAUAUUAAUAAUAUUUCUAAUAUUUUUGUUGUAUCUGUAGGUACAAGGAGUGGAAGAACGAGUUGCGGACCCACUGGACUACGUACGGGAACGCACGUUCUGGUACCCCUGUUGAGUUCCAGUACAGGGAGUACGAGUGGCGUUGGCCUCUGACAUCAGAAUUCAACAAGCCUCGUAAACAGGUAUUUAAAAAAAUUAAUUAGUUAAUUUGUCAUUAAGUAUGUGCGUUUUUAAAUAUUUUACUAAUCAGCCCCCUUCUAUUGAGGGAUCCCUAUUUUUGGUCACUUUUUAGGGAUAGGGCAUUACACCACUUCCCAAUUGAAUUUUUACAUCUUCACCGUUCAUAUCUUAGAUCUAUAUGAGUAGAUCACCUCUACAAAAUUUCAUAUGAUUUAGUGAUCGUUAAGGCUUUCAAAAGUUUGAUUUAGUUUUAAUGAUCUUGAACGGUCCAGCUUAUGUCAAACUAAAACCGUUGAAGGUCAUUAAANNNNNNNNNNNNNNNNNNNNNNNNNNNNNNNNNNNNNNNNNNNNNNNNNNNNNNNNNNNNNNNNNNNNNNNNNNNNNNNNNNNNNNNNNNNNNNNNNNNNNNNNNNNNNNNNNNNNNNNNNNNNNNNNNNNNNNNNNNNNNNNNNNNNNNNNNNNNNNNNNNNNNNNNNNNNNNNNNNNNNNNNNNNNNNNNNNNNNNNNNNNNNNNNNNNNNNNNNNNNNNNNNNNNNNNNNNNNNNNNNNNNNNNNNNNNNNNNNNNNNNNNNNNNNNNNNNNNNNNNNNNNNNNNNNNNNNNNNNNNNNNNNNNNNNNNNNNNNNNNNNNNNNNNNNNNNNNNNNNNNNNNNNNNNNNNNNNNNNNNNNNNNNNNNNNNNNNNNNNNNNNNNNNNNNNNNNNNNNNNNNNNNNNNNNNNNNNNNNNNNNNNNNNNNNNNNNNNNNNNNNNNNNNNNNNNNNNNNNNNNNNNNNNNNNNNNNNNNNNNNNNNNNNNNNNNNNNNNNNNNNNNNNNNNNNNNNNNNNNNNNNNNNNNNNNNNNNNNNNNNNNNNNNNNNNNNNNNNNNNNNNNNNNNNNNNNNNNNNNNNNNNNNNNNNNNNNNNNNNNNNNNNNNNNNNNNNNNNNNNNNNNNNNNNNNNNNNNNNNNNNNNNNNNNNNNNNNNNNNNNNNNNNNNNNNNNNNNNNNNNNNNNNNNNNNNNNNNNNNNNNNNNNNNNNNNNNNNNNNNNNNNNNNNNNNNNNNNNNNNNNNNNNNNNNNNNNNNNNNNNNNNNNNNNNNNNNNNNNNNNNNNNNNNNNNNNNNNNNNNNNNNNNNNNNNNNNNNNNNNNNNNNNNNNNNNNNNNNNNNNNNNNNNNNNNNNNNNNNNNNNNNNNNNNNNNNNNNNNNNNNNNNNNNNNNNNNNNNNNNNNNNNNNNNNNNNNNNNNNNNNNNNNNNNNNNNNNNNNNNNNNNNNNNNNNNNNNNNNNNNNNNNNNNNNNNNNNNNNNNNNNNNNNNNNNNNNNNNNNNNNNNNNNNNNNNNNNNNNNNNNNNNNNNNNNNNNNNNNNNNNNNNNNNNNNNNNNNNNNNNNNNNNNNNNNNNNNNNNNNNNNNNNNNNNNNNNNNNNNNNNNNNNNNNNNNCCGGCUCCACCCAUGCCUACGGCUAUACCGCUACCCCAGCCGCCGCAACCUCCGCAGCAGCCCCCAGAAGCGGAUAUUAAUUUAGACGAUCUAGAUUUUGUGUAAUUGAUGAAUUAUAUAUUGUUUUAUGUGCUUAUUGUUGUUGUUGGUUAUAUGGAAUUGUUUUGGUAUAUUUUGCAACUUGCUUGGAAUGAUAAUUUAGAAAUUUCCGGUUUUUUUUUUUACUGGAAUGGACUUAUAGCCGACGAAAUACGCAAUAAUUCGUGGGCUAUAGUAUUUUAAAUUUUUUUUAAAUAAGGUUUAGCCUACGAAUUAUGGCACAUUUCGUCGGCUAAACCCUUCUAAAGCCGACGAAACAUACUAUAUUUCGUCGGCUUUAGUUAUUUUUUAAUUUUUAAUUAAACACUUUAGCCGACGAAAAAUUUAAGAUAUUCGUCGGCUAAAGUAUGAGAAAAAACCGACAAUAUGUUUUUCGUCGGCUAAACUCUUGGACUAUAGCCGACGAAUAUCUUAAAUUUUUUGUAGGCUAAAGUCUGGGAAAAAAACGGACGACAUUUUUUUCGUCGGCUAAACUCUGGGAUUAUAGUCGAUGACGUCUUCUAGUUUCGUCGUCUAAAAUCAUCGCCGACGACCUUUUCCCGACGAAAAGUUAGUCGACUAGCCUUCGUCGGUUAAGAUCUUAGCCGACGAAUUAAGCUAACAGGCCGAUGAAAAAGUUUCAUCGGCUAAAGUACUUGUCCUGGUAGUGUAACUCCAUAUAAGUAGCAAAUUUGAUUUAAUUCUUCUCUGUAUAAAAGCGUAAGUGAGAUAUAAAGUGGUGCCUCCAAACAGGGAAAUUCUUUUUGCAAGUAGUGUUAAUUCUAAAUGUUUCUUCAUUUCUUCAGUAUAGAAAUAUCAGAGAGAGAUAAAGUGCGAAAAAGAGGAAGGACUUGAAUAGAAAAAGUUUACCUGAUAUGUUUCUACUCUUAUGUCACUUCAGAUAUGGAAAAAACAUGCAUACAACACGAAUGUCCCCAACAUUUAAAUUCAACAGAAAGAUUAUGAGUCAUGAUGGGAUUACCUCAAGUACCAUGUGAAGCAAUUGGAAAGUGGCACGCAUCCCAUUAUCUCUUGAAGUGAAGCGAAGUUCCUCAGUGGGCUCUGAUGAGCAAUUACUCAAAUGGUUCACGCAGAAAGUUCUACCUGAUCUGAGUAUAUAAUGAUCUGAGUAUAUUUCUCAUAUUACCAUGCCAUGUAAAGUUGUAAACAUCUUGCAAGUACUGCAAUGUAACUUGGCCUUAAUGAUUAUGCAAUACUAUAUAUAAUGAUCUGAGUAUAUUUCUCAUAUUACCAUGCCAUGUAAACAUCUUGCAACUUCUGCAAUGUAACUUAGCUUUAAUGAAUAUCAUAAGCAUACGUCCCAUGAAAUCUACUAUUAAUAAAGCAAAUUGUUGUCUGAAUGGUUAAAUUUUGAACUUCUUAUAACACCCUUGAUUGAUUAAAAUUUCAAGUUUAAGGAUUUAUAAAAUCAUGGGCAGAAAAGAAACUUCAAAAUUAGAAAUAAAAAAUAGAAAGAAAAAAAAACAAAAAGGAUUGUAUAGACAAACGGCAAUUGUCAGUUAUUUUUUGAAUUGGACUCUUUUUCUAUAAGGGAGAGAAAAAGUAGAGAUGGAGUAAUUGCAAUAAAAAAAAUAACAAAAUUAAUUUAUAAUAAGAGAACAAACUUAAAUUAAAAAAAGAAAACUAUAUUAUACAGAAUAUAAUUUUUUCACCAAGGUAGUUACUUUUUUCUUUUUUCUUUUUUCCUAUAAAAAACACAAGUUGUUAUAAACUAAGAAUGUGACAGAGAGAAAAGAGAAGAACAAAAUGUAGGAGGAGGAAGAAAUGUCACUUUCAUUCUCAUUAGGCUCCUUUAUAUAGGAGUAUGAUUUACAUAUCAAGUACAUAACUAAUGAGUAUUUACAAGGACAUCCACAUAUAUUAUAAUAUUUACAACACUCCCCCUUGGAUGUCCAUUAAUAAUCUGAUGUUGGACGCGCUUAGUGUUGUCUCGUUAAAAUCCUUGCCAGGUAAUAAAAACCCUGUGGGAAAAAACAACCCUGGUCGAAGGAGAAAAAGAGUGCAACGCGCAUAUGUCCUAGCUAGCAUACUUCUGGAUGCUCCCCCUGAUGAGAUUCUUCCCUGAUUGUUGCAAGCUUCAUGUACAGUAAAUAACAGUUUGAUUUGUCUAUCACUGAAGUGAGAUCCUGUUCGUUUUGCAAACCGGGGCUCAUCACAAGAUUUUCAUACCUGCAAAGUGAAGGCAAUACCAACAGAGCUAUACAAUUUAAUAGGCCUUACCUCAUAUUAUAAUGUUAGAAACAACCUCACAUGUUCAAAUUCAUACAUUAUGUAAUAACUAAGCAGUAGAAGCUAAUUAACACAUUACUAUGUAUGGUUCAAAACCAUUGGAAGAUUAGCAUGGCAUAUCUAGCCACUCAUAUCAAUAUUUUUGUUUAUUGAUUGAUACAUCUCGUAUAUGCUCUUCAAGAGCUUUAAGCAAUUCAUAACUUCGCGAAAGUUAGAAUAUGUAGCAACAUAAUCCGAAUUCGGUUUUGUAGUCCAAUCAUAAUACUCAUUGAGGCAAUUUUGAUCACAUUAACUAUAACAGAAUGAAUAUAUAUGAGCUAGCUUUAGACUAUCGAUUGCAUGAGUUAACUUUAGUUUAACAGCCCAGCAUAACUAGAUAUGCUCACCUUUGGGCCUCCCCCUCAUGGCUUUCUUCUUGGGUUCCAACCCAAGACACGUCUCACUAAUAGGAGUUGUGUUUGCAUGUAUAAGGCAUAUUACGUCAUUUCCCUUAGGCGAUAAGGAAUCUCAUAUUCAGACUCUCUCAAGUAUUCAUGGAUCUAUUUACGUUCGAAUCAUUCAUGUAUUUGGAUCAUUUAAGGAUUUGAUGAGCAAUACGGUUAUAAUGACGCUGUACUUUUGAGGUUUUGCUUUUUAGCAAAGUCUUUUAAGAUCCUUAUAAUAUACGAUGACAACUGCCGUAAGUCUCUUGUCAAUAACUAUAUGUAACACUGUACUUAUAGAAAAAUUGUCACGUAUAAGGAAAUAUAUUUGUAAUCCCCAUGUCUCUUGUAGACAUUGUGCCAUAGUGAUUUAUUUUCACUGUGAUUAAUACCCUUUUGAAUCAUGUAGGGUUAAAGGUCUAAUUAUCUCAUCACGUUUCAUAUAUUCAGUUCAUUGGAAUUGCCUCUAUCCAAUUUGGCCAAUAAUAUGCAUUGACGACAUUCAUAAUGAAACGUGGUAGUGCAUCAUACAAUCCUUAACGGUCUUUAGUAGCUACCAUAUGUAAAUUUUCAUCGAUGAUUAUCAUUCAUAGAUCCCACACAUUCUUAUAUGCAUGCAUUAGCUAUUAUGAGCUUAUUAAUAUUGGAUACCUAUGCCACUUCUGGGGCAAAUAUUGUCACUUCUACGACAAACAUCUCUCAUAGAUGAAUUAUAUCUAGCGAAUGUGGAUCUAUAUUCAUAAUAUCAUAAAACAUUAUAGGACAUGUAUAAUCUUCUAUUUUCAGGAGUUUAAAACUUUAGACCUGGUGGAUACAUUCCACUCCAAAUUCACGCCGUUAUUCAAAUGACAAUAGUCUUUUCUCUUCCCCUAACGGCGGGAACACUGUCUUAUUUUGAUCAUGCAUAAAAAUGCGUUUAAAUGUAUAUCACUUCCUUUCGAGUGAAGAUGUCCAUUGGCUGGUGGCAAACCCAAACCAAGCUUAAGGUCAAAAAAUAUUAAAUUCAUGAGUAUCAACCAUAUUGAUGUAUAAUUGUAUCACCAAGAUAUCAUCAUCUGAUGGUGUACUUUUAACCUUUGUAUGUGUAAUAUUGUAGCCGCCAUAUUAGGAACUCGGACAUUUUUAAUGACAUUCUCGUUGGUCUCAGAGAUUUUACCCAAGUAAAUCUUCUUCCACUAACAUAUAAUUUUGUCAUCAAUAGUUUUUAUUAAGUCACUAGCUGUGAUAUUCCUCAAGCUCAAAAUGAGACAAUAGGUAAAUAUUCCAUAACAAUUCAUGUUGUUCUUCAGGAACAAUCUUUUUCCCUUUCGUAACAAGAGAAGUGUCUCAUUAAAGUGACAAACCAACAAAAAAAUAUGCAGCAAAUAAACAAUUUGCUAUGAGUAGCGUUAGCUAGCAGGCAUCAAAAGUUGUUACUAAUUUCAAACAACACUGUAGGUAAAAUAUGAUGUAACUAGUCAUGCGAAAAUAAUUAAUUUGGUUCAAUGAACUUCUGGUUCAUGACAUUAUGUGUCUCACUAUAUUGUAGAAUUUAACACACGUAAUAGGCGACAUAGCGAGAUACUGUCCAUUUUGGAUCUCGCUCGCUUUACAAUUUUGUGCUUGAGUUGCCAACCCAAAAUUAGUCUCACUAUGGGGAGGUAUGUUUGCAACACAUCUCCUCCCCUCCUUCGGGUGAUGUAAGAUCUCAAUACAUAUUCUGAAACCAUAUUGAAGCAACUUCUUGUAAAGAAGGGAUAUUAUGUGCUCUUCCGGAGCCAUCAAUCAUAUGUGUAAUCGAAUCUUCAAGUUCAAAUUUAUAAUGUUAGAACUUCAUGUACUCAGAUUUCAUAUGUUGAACUUCUAGUUCAAAUAAAUUUGGUGCCGGAAACUUCAGGUUCCAGAUAACUGAACUGAAACUUUAAGUUCACUAAUUUAAUUUACAUACUCAGCUUCAGGCUUGAGCUUUUAAUUUACACGUUAUCUGGAAUUCUUAUGUUCUAUAAUUCAGUAAUUUGAACUUCUGGUUCAAAAACAUGACAUUUGAAAUUCAUAUGUUCGUGCUAUAAAGUUGCUAGCUCGUAUGAGUAACAAUAAAAUUUAGAAGAGAAAAAUAAUUAACAAACUCUAAAAUGGUAAGGAACAAGGAUAAGUAAAAUGUGAGAAUGGAAACUUAUAGUUCCAUUGGUGAAGAAGUACAAGAACUUCUGGUCUAGUUACCUUCACGAAUAUGAUAAUCUUGUUUCUCUCCUCUAAUUUCACAAUCACAUUGUAUCAAAAUAAAUUGGAGCUUCAUGCUCUCAUAUAAUUGUGGAUCACAAGAAAACCAUAUUGUAUAGCUCUAAGGAGCUUCUGGUCCUUGUUGAUUACAUAAGUUUUGAGAAACUUCAUUUCAAUAAUUUGACAAUAUCACUUUCAAAGAACUUCAGGCCCUCAUAUAGUUUGAUCAAGAAACUCCAGGUUUCGAUCAAUUUUAAUUACAAAACCGAAUAAGGUUAAGAAAAAUAAAACAUACUUGAAUUUCAUAAUCUCAUACCAUGAUAUUGUUUCUUCAAUAUAUGUGGGCCAAAUUAGUCAUAUUCUCAUGACAUGCACAAUGAGUGUAUUUGCAAUGGGUACAUGCAGAGCUUAAAUAGCUACGUGUUUCCUCCAAUUCUCAUAAAUAUGCAUAAGGACCAUCUUUCAAUAAGAUGAGUGAUCGGGAAAAAACUGCCGGUAGUCAGAUUUCUAGCAAAAAACAUCUUGCCAAUGGUCAGAUACUCUGGACAACAUCACAAAAGAUGCAACCGGUAGAGGAAAGACAACAAUAUAUGUGCCCUUUUUCUAUCAGAACCUCUAAUCUUUCCACUCAAGUAUAAAGCGAGCUAGGAAGUCUCAGCCUACAAAGGACCGAGAAACAUGGUCACGGGAGAACACCUCUUAUGUCCUUCAUUUAUGUCCAUGGUGUUACUAUGAUACCCUACAUCUCCCCACUUAUCAUAUUACUCGUGAGAAACUUCAGACCCUCUAUAGUUAGAUAAUGAGGCUUCAUGUCUCAAUUAUGGAGUUCACUGUAAUUCUCUCGGAAUUCAUAAAAUACUCGUGAGGAACUUCAGGCCCUCUGUAGUUGGAUAAAGAGGCUUCAGGUCUCAAUUAUAGAGUUCACUGUAAUUCUCUCGGAAUUCAUAAAACGAAGAAUGUCGUGAAAUGAAUAGAUUAAAUUCAUGCAAAUAAUGAAAUGGGAAAAUACAUACCUUAGGCCCUUUAAUAAAUCUGAAAUUAUGGAAACAAUAAGUUUCAUGAAAGACUAAUACCACAACAAAAAGGUUAGUAAAAAACCAAUUACUAGACCUGAAUUGAUAAAACAAUAAAUAGAGGUUAUCAAUAGUCAUAAAAUUCCAAAACUACUACUUAUUAUGGAAACAUCCAUCCAGGCUAGGUAAUGAAACCAAUAAAAUGUAAUUAAUAUACAUAUAAUUCAAAACCUAAGAAUGAUGAUGUUUUGGGUUGUUAAUGGGCAAAACCGCAUAAAGAAACCGAUGAAUUUCCAUGUUAUUAAUAGCUGAAAUUUGGUAUAUAUAAAUGCUUGUAAAUGGUGCACAUAAUUGUGAACAAUGACUUUUGAUUGCCAAAUUAUGACCUGAAAAGUAUUUGUGUGCACAUAUUGGGGAGUAAAGUAACCAUAUUCACUCAUAUAAUAAGCUUAAAUUAAGACACUCAUAUCAAUCACAAUAACUCGGUGUCCAGAAUACCAUUAUGAUAGGCUUAAUAUUAAUCGGUGUUAAGAACACCCCCAUUGAUCAUGUCUUUAACAUUUCAAUUUAACCACAAAAACAUUGUCAACUUGAGUGAAAUGACAUCCACUCAUGGCUCAGAUUUCCCAAGAGACUGAUUAAUAUGAUUAAUUUUGGUCUUAUUGCCAUUCAAAGAGGGCUUUGUAAAUUACCAUUAAAUGUUAGGGCAUGCAUCAAUGGGCCGAAAAUGGUUAAGCCAUAACUAUGACCAUAUCAUGAUCCAUAUUAGAAGGCGCAAAAGCGCCCAUUCAUAUCAUGCUCUUAGUAACUGAUCAACCAAUGCUUGCCAAAACUCAAACGGAUCUUUCACCGUUAGAUACAUGUCUUUCAUUCUCUUUUUCAAGACCACAUCGAUCAUCAUAGAUCUAAUUAUGUUAUUUAGAACUUCAUGUUCAUAUGAAAGUAAUAUCAAUAUCGAAACUUCAGGUUCGAAUUUUGUGAACAAUGGAUCACAUGUAUAUGCACAAAACUUCAGGUUUAUGCAAACAAUUAGACUUGCAAUUCUAAUGUAAUAUUUGAACUCCAAGUUCAUAAUCUCAAAAAGUUCAUAUUUGAGAAUUAUUAGCGAAACUUCAGGCUCACUAAUAUAAGCAAUUGUAAACAUAAAAUUGAGUAAUAUAAACAAAGUAUAUAUGUAGACAAGAUAUAAUCAAAAUAGAAGUGAACUCAUAGAUCGUGAGUAUGGAUAAUAAGCAACAAAAGUUGCACCAAUAUCUCAUAGAUCGUCAUAGAGUUUAUGGAACGAAUGAGCGAAAACGUGCUGAUAACGUGUUAUAAACUAAGAAUGUGAUAGAGAGAAAAGAGAAGAACAAAAUGUAGGAGGAAGAAGUGUCACUUUCAUUCUCAUUAGGCUCCUUUAUAUAGGAGUGUGAUUUACAUAUCAACGACAUAACUAAUGAGUAUUUACAAGGACAUCCACAUAUAUUAUAAUAUUUACAACACAAGUUUGUUUAUCAAAAGAAAGAAGUUCAUCAACGCAAAACACAAUAACAAGACACUAAAGCCUAAACCCAGAGCAAAGACUGCUCCUUGGCCCAAAACAGUUAGACCAACAGAGGCAGUAUAGAAAACAUUGUAAAACGGCUCACAAAAAACAGGCCAGGACUUUGCUAUUUAGCAAUUACUUAUGAGAUGUGAAAUAUAUUUCACAUGAUUACACUUUGUGAUAGCUAAUUCAUUUAACAAGAACCUAUCUCAAGAUACAAUAUAAUGCAUUAUUGAAGAGGAAAGAAUCUCCUCCUACAUUGAACAGUAUUGGACAAAUUCGUUCACGAAUCAAAUACAAGUAAACUGCAUACCUACUCCUUAAAAAGUUGCCAACACGACCUGCCUCGCUAAGAGUUCUUACACGCACAACAACAGAACCUUUUGAUUCAAAACUUUCAAUAGCCCACCCACCACCGACUACAAGCCUCAUCAAACCUCCCCGAGCCUCACUUUUUGAAAUCUGUGAUUGAAGCAUAAAAUGAAGACAUGAAUUUAGUGUAAUUACAGUAACUAUUCUCAUGUGUUAACCUACAUGAUUAGAAAAAACAAAAAAACACAUUAAUAAUUACUGAUACUUAAUUAAAUUGAAGUCUAAAGGAUCAAACAAUAUUUUGGGUCUUCAAUUUCCAGCUUUGCUUCAAAAAUAUCAAAUUAAUUAUUUUUCCUAUAUUGAUGAGCAAAACCAGUGAAACUAUAAUUAAGGAUUAAAGAGCCUCAUACCCUUAAUUUGGAAGAGAUCACCCACCAUGAUCAAGAUCAUACAACCCAAAACUGAAUAUAUUAUGUUCUUAUAUGUGGCUUAUUAUGGUUUAAAUAGAUACUUCACAUUUUCAGACUAAGUUAGGGAAUCUGAGAUGGAUCCGUGUAGCCCAAGUUAGGGAAUGAUUAUAUCGAAAAUUCAACAUAACAUCUCCCUUAAAAAUGGACUACCCCAAAACAUGUAAAUGAAUCAAUAAGUACACUUGUAAUUUCUCACAUCUCAAAUAACUCCCAUUCAGGACCUCUUGUCCCUCAUAAUCCAUCAAUAUAGAAAAUAAAUUUAUUAACCAAAAUUUAACAAUUUCACCUGCUAGGCUAAUACCAACACAUCCUAGGAGGCAUAACAAUGCUCCAAAACACUAAAAAUGGCCAUGAAAGGCGCAGCCGCGGUGGCUCAAUAUGGCCAAAUCCUCAACUUUUAAAAUGUCCAAAACUAUAUGCAAUACUAUACUCAAAAGAUGGCCCAUGAGGUAAGGAACAACUUUAUACCUCGGGGUUUCUCCAAAUUCUUGAUGGUUUGGCCAGAAUUCACAGAUUUAGCAGAAUCCUUCUCUCCUUCGAUUUGUUACACACAAGUAAAAAUAAAUUAAAAGCCUAGUAUAUAUAGAAUACCCGUGAAAAGAGGAAGAGAUUGAUACCAGUUUUAUGGCCGGAAUCGGCGCCGGCGACGUGAUCUUUGGAUGCGGCCCAUUCUCUCUCUCUCUCNNNNNNNNNNNNNNNNNNNNACUCUCUCUCUCUCUCUCUCUCUCUCUCUCUCUCUCUCUCAACGUGAAACAAAUGAAAGUGGGGGAGGGGCUGAUCCAUUUAUGCACGGGAUGAGAUGAAGUGACCAAAAUGCCCUCCAAAUGAAAAUAUUCACAUUUUUCUCGUUGUAACUCCGUUUCAUAAACCCGUUUGUGCUUGCAUUCUUGUAUCAUCGUGCUCAACUUUCCUACGUUAAUAAGAGCAUCUUUAGCUAUUUAGAGCAUCUUUAGUAAUGCUAGUCAUUUUUAAGUUAAAUUUUAGUCAAAUUAACUAAAAUGUCAUUUUGGCUAGUCACUUUAGAAAUGUGGCUGCAUCAAUGCUUUUUAUUUUAGCUAACAUUACAUCAACAUUAUUCUUCAAAUAGAAAUUAAAUAAUUUAUAUAUAUUUAUAUAUCACAUAAAAUAUCUUACAAGCAAUGCAUUAAAUUAUAGCUAGCCUCAUAUGAGUCAUCUCGCUAGCUAAACAUAGCUAAUGAGAUAGCUAAAAGUCAUAAUAGCUCAAAUUUGGCUAAUCUGCUGGAGCUCCUAAAACAUCCAAAAAAGCUAAACACGCUCUAUAAAAUAGCUAAGAAGUUAAAAUAGAGAGUCUGUUAAAGAUGCUAUUAUAGUCAAAUUUUAGCUAAUAUAGCUAAAAAAUCAUCUCAACUCAAGUUUGGUUAUUUUUUAAAUAAAAAAAUGAAUUUAAUGUGUUUUAAUAUUAUAUAAAAUGAAUUAAAAGGAAUACAUUGAAUUAACAUAAAUUAUAGAGAGUUUCAGAGAUAAAAAAAAUUCCAGGAAGUUCAUCUCCUUAAUGUUGGAACUGCCGUGAAUAUGAUUUUUAUUAUUAUUUUUUUGUUCUUUUUGUUAUUUUAGAUCAAGGGUAAAAUUGGAUUAACAUAGGUAAUAUUAUGAUGUAGGGCGAACAAUGUAUUUUAUAGAGUGACAAUAGCCGCACCCUUUUCGUUUUUACAUUAUACAACAAAUUUCUUACUUAAAUAACACGUUUGAAUUUUGAAAUAUAAAUAUUUCGUACUUUAAGUAGUUGUGAAAUUGUUUGUGAGGAUGCAUGAUGAAAAAGAAAGGGAAUAAAAAAUUAGGCAGCAGCAAGCUAGCGAUUGUCGUUCAAACAACUGAUACGUCGACGUUGGUGCAAAUCAUGAAUUAUAUAAGACCAAGAGAUUCGACUCCAAAGUUUUGCUCAGCGUGAAGAUUAAUGGAGCAAUAGUUAUUAAGGAUUUAAGGAUGUCCAGCAAAUCCACAGGUAUUUUGACACGACCCACCCCGAAUUUCACCCUGAAACCCGGAGUAAGUCGUGCGGGGACCACCUCCAAGGAAAAUUUACUGAAAAAAUUGGUAAAACCUCCCUUGAAGAUGGACAACCCUAACCCGAAAAAUCUCCAAUUCACACACUUACUACAGCACUUCCAAAAAUAUCACACAAUUAUCCAGCUAAAUAAAAGCAAAUAUUAUUCUUCAGCAAUUAUAAACAUAAAGUCAAUCGACCAAGCACACCACCGGAAUAAUAUACAAUAAUCUCAAAGUAUUCAGAGCUACUAGACACUAACGGAAGCAAGAAAACACUAGUAGGUUAAACAGGACCUACUGAUGAAAACUGGCGGAAAAGCGGGUAACUAUGCCUCGUCUCCUACUAGGUCCAACCUGAACUCUGCAGACUGGGCAAUUUAAAACGAAGAGCCCAGGGGAAAACAUGUGGAACAGUUAAAGUGAGUGGACAAAAAUAAAUUAAAUAAAAAUAUUUCUUUAUGCUUCCCCAAUUUAAUUUUCAAAUAAAAUAAUACUGCAUGCAAUCGCUCAAAAGCCCUCAACUCAAAAACUGGCAACUUCACGACCAGCACCGGCUAGUCUCCAAACUUAAUAAAAUACAGCCUCUCAGGCUAAAUUAUAUAUAAACAUAUAUAAGUGUAUAUAUUCACACUCGUCAGACUCCUUGUAUAAAUUCUAAGAACAAAUUAGAAAAAUAGAAAUUCAUACAAGGCUACUACGCUUGCGUCUAACGCUCACGUCACACCAUAAUGGAAUUGUACCUCAUUAUGGCGGAAAAAGCACGAGUGUAUAUACGUGUGGACUCCCUAUAUGAAAACCUAAAUAAACCAAAUGAGAAAAUAGUUUUCAUAUAGGGCUACUACGCUUGUGUCUAACACUCACGUCACACCAUAAUGGUAUUUUACCUCAUUAUGGCGGAUAAGCACGUAUGGCUAGCUAGCAUUUACAUAUACAUACUAUCAUCAUAAACAUCCAAUAAACAUAUCCACCGAAAAUCUCAUUUUCGGAAUCUCUCCAAAGGAGGAAAAUUGCCAAAUAUCCGAGAAAUAAAUAAAUCUCAGGAAAAGAAUUAAAUGAUCAACAGAUAAUUCAUCGCAUGCUUUUCAAUUAAAAUAAAGGUCCACUCACAAAUUAGGCCUAAGCCUGAUGACGCUCCGAGGCUUUCUCUGCUCGGGCCUCCUCUCGUCCUGUUCCAAAUAUAUAAUUAAUUUCCCACCAAAAAACCAAUAUUUAAACAAAAUGGGUAAAAUUAAACGUGAGCCUCCCACACACUCAUCGUUGCCCAAAUUCGCCAUUCUUAACUCAAUACGGCUCAAACUUCGCCGAACAUACCGGCAGCCGUAAAAACAAUUUCCCACAGAAUACGACUUAAAUCCUACGGCCGGAUUCUACAUUAAUUAACCGCCAAAAUACCAAACUUCGGAAAUUCACAAACCUAUCCAAAACUCAACCAAAAAUUCCAUAACUCACUUCAAUAAACUCCCCUUAAUAUUCCACAUUUAAAAACAUAAAAAUCUCCCAACCAGCGGCGGCCGGAGGCCAAUUCCGGCGACCUCCAAAACCUAUGAAAUUUUGACAGAAUAAUCUCCUCAUCAUGCUCUACAACUUUCCUGACCAGCACAAACCCAAAAUCCAAGCCUAACUAGGGCAAUCGAACACAAACACUUAAAAGCCCUAUAAAUUUCAACUCCACAUUUCUCCUUACCUAGCUCAAGAGAGGGAGAGUCCUUUUAGGGCAAGGCUGCUGGGUUGGAGGGCUACAAAACCGUACCAAGCUUGCCCGGAUUGGUGGCCGGAGGAGGGAGUUCCGGCGAAAUGCUUCCCGGCGUCUCCGGCAGGAUUUCUCCUCUUCCGGCGGGUUAGAGGCUCGGGGGCUAGGCCGGGGAGGGAGAGGAGGUGGCGGGGCUCUGAACUGGGAUGGAGCGGCGGCAGCUGGCUGGCCGGACGGCGGCAACUGGUGGCUGGGAGCUUCCGGCGGAGAGAGAGCACGGGAGGGAGAAGGAAGAGAAAAGAGAGAAGAAGAGAAAGGGAGGAAAAUGGGUUGGGCCUCCCAAAAAUAAUACCCGAAUAAAAAUUACCUUUUACUAGCUAAAAUUUACUAUUUUUACCGUCGUCGUAUUUUCCUCUUACGAAUAAUCCUCCGCACAUAAUCGUCCCCGAAACCCCUCUAGGGACCAAUUAAACUAUUAACUCAAUGACGGAGACAGUAAAAUUCUUAUUAUAAACCAGCUAGUAAACAAGGUAAAAAUAUAAGAGUCAAGAUGUGACAUAUUUUCUAUUGGUUUGACGGGAAGAGCUCAUCUUCUUAGGGACGGAGCAACUGCUAGCAACACAGAUGAAUUUCAAGGUUGUUAAAGGGACCGAGCAAGUGUCCAUCAAAAUUUCCACAUCAGUGACCACAAUGAUCGCAUGAAUAGAAUUAUGAUACUGAAACCAAAAGAGAAAAAAUAUGUUGCCAAAAGUGUAUUUUAUAUAUCCCAAAUUGGCAAAAGAGUAAAUAUAAAGCAAAGCAAGUCGAUCACUUUCAUCAAAAUUGAAGUCAUCAUUCUGAUUUGUGGGUUCAUAUAAUGAAAUCACAAAGGUGGUACACGUUGAUGGCCAACGUAACCAGACCACUAGAAAUGCUUGAAGCAGCUCUGCAAACAUCCUAUGCAACUGUGAGAAAAAAGAAAAUCAAUACUAUUUCUGAUAACUACAAAUAUAAAAUAGAAACAGUCGACAAGUCCAUUACUGUCCAGAUACUAUCUUCACUAACUGCUUUGAAACCAAUCACUGGCCUACGAAAGUGAUAUUGAGACCAAAUUCCUGAAAUCGAAACCUAUAGAUGCUCUCCUUGUGUGCACAAAAGAUGCAACAACUCCUGCACCAACAAGCCUUGGGCCACAUGAAAUUUCAAAAACCAAUCAAUCUGACACUCGGGAACCUCCUUAACUUAAUCUCACAUUUUGUCUGGUCUUGAUCAUCCGCUUGAGGGUUGCAAGCCAAAAGUUGCAUUCAUCCCACUCGGUAGUGGUAAGAUGUAUCUAAUAAGGACGAAACCAAAGAAAAUUUAAGCAUAUAUUCAUCGUUUGACAUACAUAAGGGUUGAAGUCUCCAUUUUAGUACCUGAAUUGUUAGCGCAGUGUUGAAAUCACCGUUAUCCAGUGCCUGGCACAGCUGCACAAGAUUAUCAGCCGCAUUUUUAGAUAUGUCUCCACUGUUAAGUUUGGCAAACAAUGCUCCUAUCUUCUUCGAAUUAUCUUCUAUUUCACGCUUCUUAGCUGGGUUCGCACGUGAACCUCCCAACGCUUCAGAGGUUUCAUUGAAAAGUCUCCCUAGUGUUGCGAUUAUGGGCUUUUGGUGGGCUGUUAUAUACCACAAAAAUGCACUCAAGUUAGAAAAUUGAAGUAACUUGUCUUCUUAAGCUGCAAUAUGAAGUUUGCUUCAUAUAAAGAUAGCCCAAGUUCAAAGGGAAGCAAACCCCCACAGAAUCAGAAGGUUUAACCAGAUUAAAGCAAAAAAUUACCAGGAACUUUUGAAGUAUCAGCUGUCUGUAUGGUAGGUGGUGGAGCUGGAGCCACAGACUGUCGAGCUGGAGCAGGGGGACUAGAUGGCUGCAGAGUCCCCUGAACAACUCCUGGAUUAGUGACUGGCAUAAACCCACUUUGUGGAGGGGGCACAGAUUGUGGCAUCUUAUUUCCGGGAACUGGAUUGACAUGUGAUUGAUGAGGAGCUCCUGAACUAGGCCCUGUUUGCAUAUGUUGAAAAGCACCUCCCUGCUGUAGCAUAAACAGAGAAAACAUUAGAAUAUACAUUGUGGAGAUGGUUCAGACCUUUAAUUUAAAAUCAAGUGCAGAUCUACAGACAGGAUACAACUGAGAACCCAGCGAGUUGGUGUUGGCCUGCUGAUAUUUUUCUCCAUUUAACAAAGCAGGAGGAGUCGAAGGAAUAAAGGUCGCGGGAGGCUGAGUAGGUGCAGGAGUUGUAUAGAAUUUGUCCUACAAGAAAAACAUAUACAAGUCAUAUGAAAAUGUUCCUUGUAUACCACGAACUCAAGGAUUAGAAAAAAAAAAAAAAAAAACUAAUUAAAAAAAUGACUUGUAGGUCUAAAUUUAGAAACACGAUAUUAUGAAAGAAUAUAUAUAUUAAUAACAAAAGGCAAAGGUACCUUUGGUACUUGAGGUGUUUGGAUAGGAACAAACAUGUUAGGAGGCUGUGAUGGAGGCUGUGACGGAGGCUGGUGGAAAGGGGCGGGAGAAUAUCCAUGAUACGGAGGAUUCGCAGGUUCAGGAUAAACAUCAUACGUAUUGCCAGGACCACGAGGUUGCACAUGUGUCGGAGUUGGUUCCUACCCAAUUUAAUAAGAAAACGUUCAAGAUAAAGUUAAUCCACAAUGAAGACACUUGUUAGGCAACAAAACAACGACGACAUAUCUGAAUGAACACCUGAUAAUAUGAAACGUUCCCUGGCCUGUAAGGGUUUGGUUCUGGAUAUAUAUUAGCUGGUGCAGGGUUUUCAAACUUGGCGACUUUCUCUGUUGCAGCAAAACAACAGAUACAAUCCAUCAGUGGUGAUGAAUAAUGCAGGUAUGAGGAAAAGGCUUCAUAUUUGAGAUAUGUCAACAUCAAGUGAAUCUUAUAUCAUGUAUAUAUAAUAACUUUUACACAAUUGAUAACAAUCAUCAUAUUAUUAUUGAUGGCUGCCGAACAUGAUCUUCAGCAAAGAAAUAGUACAUGAGGCUUCUUUAUAAAAUAAAAUAAAAAAUAAAAACAUUUUCAAAAAAGUUCGUACAAAUAAUGAAAAUUUUGAAAAGAAUAAAAAACUAAAUAAAUAAUUAUCGCCUGAGCACCUGUCAAGUGCUUCCUCCUACAAAAGAUUUUUGCCACAUUUAAAAUGUUCUUUUCGGUCUUCUAGAAGUAACACAAAGAGGCCCCAUAAUGAACAGCAAAUACAGCAUUUCCAAAAAGUACAUACCAGGUUCUGUAGAAAGAGCAAUACGAUCCCUUAAGAUCACAAGUUCAGGUGGCAAUUCAUCAGUGCCCAAGAGUUUCAGGUACUCCAGUGCUGUUGUUAAAAGACCUUGACUAGCUAAAAUUUCAGCAUAUUUCUCAACAAGUUUACACAAAGAUGCACUAAAUCGCUUCUGUCCAGUUGCCAAGGCAAGUACUAUAGUCUUCUCCAUUAAUUCCUAAAGCAAAUACAUAAUUUUGUCAAAUUCAAGUCCUGAAAGCUUCGAUGCACUAUAAGAUACAAUAUAUGUAUAUAUACACACAUAUAUAUAUAAAACAAAGUUACCUGAAGAAGGUCAACAUAGGAUCUCCCUUCGUGAUCAGUUGUCAGAUUCCUUGACCAAAUAUCUACUGUCUUAUCAAUAUUUCCAGCACAUAUAUAACAAAUAGUUGCUGCGAGGGUAUUACCAGCAGCUAUAAGUCUGGCAGCAAGCAUAUUACACAGGUCUUCCCACGCCUCUACUGAUGAAAACUGUUGGAUCAUGAAAAAGAAAAUGACAUAAAUCACAUAUAUAGCAAUUGUAAGUGCAGUUAAGAAGACUCGGAAAUAGUUAUGUAACACCUAUUCAAAUGCACAUAUGUUCUAAAACUUCACUUAUUGCAUAUAUAAUACAUUUUAUCAGACUAUUCGAGCAUGGAACUUACACUACAGAGAACAGCAAGUGUUUCCUUCCAGAAUUUGAGGGGUCUGGUGUUAACAAGACUUGAUAGAUCAUUGCUCACCAUUGCAGAAACAAUCUGACAGCAAACAAAGGUUCCGAUUUCAAAAGAUAAAUCAAAAUAAUUAUUCUACCAUAUUAUUGUGACAGAAAUCAUCACAUGUAAAAAAAUCACGUGGUUUACUGCCUUCAAGGACAAAAGAAGAAGGUUCAAGUACCUUAAGGUAAGGUGAAUGGCUCAACUUAAGGUAUUGAUCCCGAGUGCUCUCCCACAAUGUAGGACCACCAGCAUGAGCAAUAACUAAAGCAUCAGCCAUUUUAUUUGCUGACAUGCACUUUGCAACAGCCCCUUUAUAAUCUCCUACAGCUAAAGCAUGUUGAACUGAUUCAUCAAAUGAUGGAUCAGCACUCUCUUCCAGUUCAUCAUGUUCUUCUUGAACUUGGUCUGUAAUAGGAACUGUGUCCCCCACCACAAAUUUGUCACCAGAGGUUGAAUGAGGAGUGUCAGCUUUAGGACUAGGAAGAUUGUUAAAGAAAUCUUCUCCAUUGUCAGAAGGAAAAAUUGUAGUUUCCUUCUCAUCACCCAAACCAGCUUUGUCAGUUGUUGAAUCCUCAAUCCCAGGUGCAUUGACUUCUGCAGAUAGAUUGUCUUCAACAAUUUCUUUUGUUUCCUCAGGUACAAUGAAACCAAGAUGUGUGAUCAGGUUUGUCCUUGCAGUCCCAUCAUCUUCAAACAUAACCCUUAAUAAUCCCCAUGUUUCCCGGUCAUCAGCAGUC